GCGCCUGAGUCGCCACCACCAAGCUAUGAAUCAGUUUGUGUGGUAUCAAAUGAAAAUGAUCACAGGGUACCACCACCAGACAAUGAUCAUCGGGUACCACCUCCUGACAAUACUAACUGGAUACCACCUCCUGACA
Ornithodoros turicata is the source of this 136-nucleotide long non-coding RNA. RefSeq lists it as uncharacterized. The transcript has 5 exons. The record is from RefSeq and is a predicted model, not a curated record. Lineage: Eukaryota; Metazoa; Arthropoda; Arachnida; Ixodida; Argasidae.